RNAcentral lists this unclassified non-coding RNA (20 nucleotides) under Dictyostelium discoideum. Lineage: Eukaryota; Evosea; Eumycetozoa; Dictyosteliales; Dictyosteliaceae. The record is from RNAcentral.
AUGUCUGGCCUUUCCACCAC